Molecule: ribosomal RNA, 1478 nt
Filed under: Lactiplantibacillus plantarum
Lineage: Bacteria; Bacillati; Bacillota; Bacilli; Lactobacillales; Lactobacillaceae
Description: bacterial SSU rRNA
Rfam family: Bacterial small subunit ribosomal RNA
Source: RNAcentral
GAACGCUGGCGGCGUGCCUAAUACAUGCAAGUCGAACGAACUCUGGUAUUGAUUGGUGCUUGCAUCAUGAUUUACAUUUGAGUGAGUGGCGAACUGGUGAGUAACACGUGGGAAACCUGCCCAGAAGCGGGGGAUAACACCUGGAAACAGAUGCUAAUACCGCAUAACAACUUGGACCGCAUGGUCCGAGCUUGAAAGAUGGCUUCGGCUAUCACUUUUGGAUGGUCCCGCGGCGUAUUAGCUAGAUGGUGGGGUAACGGCUCACCAUGGCAAUGAUACGUAGCCGACCUGAGAGGGUAAUCGGCCACAUUGGGACUGAGACACGGCCCAAACUCCUACGGGAGGCAGCAGUAGGGAAUCUUCCACAAUGGACGAAAGUCUGAUGGAGCAACGCCGCGUGAGUGAAGAAGGGUUUCGGCUCGUAAAACUCUGUUGUUAAAGAAGAACAUAUCUGAGAGUAACUGUUCAGGUAUUGACGGUAUUUAACCAGAAAGCCACGGCUAACUACGUGCCAGCAGCCGCGGUAAUACGUAGGUGGCAAGCGUUGUCCGGAUUUAUUGGGCGUAAAGCGAGCGCAGGCGGUUUUUUAAGUCUGAUGUGAAAGCCUUCGGCUCAACCGAAGAAGUGCAUCGGAAACUGGGAAACUUGAGUGCAGAAGAGGACAGUGGAACUCCAUGUGUAGCGGUGAAAUGCGUAGAUAUAUGGAAGAACACCAGUGGCGAAGGCGGCUGUCUGGUCUGUAACUGACGCUGAGGCUCGAAAGUAUGGGUAGCAAACAGGAUUAGAUACCCUGGUAGUCCAUACCGUAAACGAUGAAUGCUAAGUGUUGGAGGGUUUCCGCCCUUCAGUGCUGCAGCUAACGCAUUAAGCAUUCCGCCUGGGGAGUACGGCCGCAAGGCUGAAACUCAAAGGAAUUGACGGGGGCCCGCACAAGCGGUGGAGCAUGUGGUUUAAUUCGAAGCUACGCGAAGAACCUUACCAGGUCUUGACAUACUAUGCAAAUCUAAGAGAUUAGACGUUCCCUUCGGGGACAUGGAUACAGGUGGUGCAUGGUUGUCGUCAGCUCGUGUCGUGAGAUGUUGGGUUAAGUCCCGCAACGAGCGCAACCCUUAUUAUCAGUUGCCAGCAUUAAGUUGGGCACUCUGGUGAGACUGCCGGUGACAAACCGGAGGAAGGUGGGGAUGACGUCAAAUCAUCAUGCCCCUUAUGACCUGGGCUACACACGUGCUACAAUGGAUGGUACAACGAGUUGCGAACUCGCGAGAGUAAGCUAAUCUCUUAAAGCCAUUCUCAGUUCGGAUUGUAGGCUGCAACUCGCCUACAUGAAGUCGGAAUCGCUAGUAAUCGCGGAUCAGCAUGCCGCGGUGAAUACGUUCCCGGGCCUUGUACACACCGCCCGUCACACCAUGAGAGUUUGUAACACCCAAAGUCGGUGGGGUAACCUUUUAGGAACCAGCCGCCUAAGGUGGGACAGAUGA